UACGAAGGGGGCUAGCGUUGUUCGGAUUUACUGGGCGUAAAGCGCACGUAGGCGGCCUGUUAAGUCAGGGGUGAAAUCCUGGAGCUCAACUCCAGAACUGCCCUUGAUACUGGCAGGCUCGAGUAUGGAAGAGGUUGGUGGAACUGCGAGUGUAGAGGUGAAAUUCGUAGAUAUUCGCAAGAACACCGGUGGCGAAGGCGGCCAACUGGUCCAUUACUGACGCUGAGGUGCGAAAGCGUGGGGAGCAAACAGG
This 253-nucleotide ribosomal RNA is filed under the name uncultured bacterium. Its description in RNAcentral is "partial 16S ribosomal RNA". It matches the Rfam family "Bacterial small subunit ribosomal RNA", at positions 524 to 776 of the family's 1533-position model. The record is from RNAcentral.